GUUUUUAAUAUUGAAUUUAUUGUAUUAUUGAAAUAAUAUUCCUUCAUUAUUAUUACUAUUACUGAUUGCACGUAAUCAGAAGUGUGAGUGUCAUGUCGGUGUAAAGUCCAAAGUAACACAAAUUUCUCAAAAGUGAUCACAAGGUGUUGCAAACAUAGAGAACUGGUUAUUUGAGUUUAUCUACCGACAUAAACAUUUGGGAGAUCGUAAGAGAGAACUUACAGAAACAACUUAUGACAUGUCUAUAAGCUGUUUUCAACAACUUAUUUCCAUAACCUCACAUGAUAGCUUAUGAUGAAAACAACUUAUUGCAUAUACAAAAACAAUUUUUAUUUAUUUUGUAAUAGAAAUUGCUCAUACAUAUGCACUUAUAUAUCUUAAACACUUGUUAUAAGCACUUAUUAAACCGUUUAUCCAAUUUUUCCUUAACAAAAAGAUCAUUAGCAAAAGAGAAACAAACAAACCUCAGCUGAUGAACCAUUUGGAUCAGUCAAUACAAUCCUAGGCAAUCCAUCUUUGUCCUGAAAUACAGGCAUCUGUAUUGAUUCCUGCUGCAACCUUAAUGCUCCUGAGUUACUCACAAAUGG
This 587-nucleotide long non-coding RNA is filed under the name Trifolium pratense (red clover). RNAcentral's name for it is "long non-coding RNA (TPRA_LNC010463)". The record is from RNAcentral. Lineage: Eukaryota; Viridiplantae; Streptophyta; Magnoliopsida; Fabales; Fabaceae.